UUUUUUCCGUAGGUGAAGCGCGGAGGGAUCGUC
RNAcentral lists this ribosomal RNA (33 nucleotides) under Pestalotiopsis gracilis. RNAcentral describes it as "partial 18S ribosomal RNA". Lineage: Eukaryota; Fungi; Ascomycota; Sordariomycetes; Amphisphaeriales; Sporocadaceae. The record is from RNAcentral.